Molecule: non-coding RNA, 2090 nt
Organism: Monodelphis domestica (gray short-tailed opossum)
Lineage: Eukaryota; Metazoa; Chordata; Mammalia; Didelphimorphia; Didelphidae
Source: RefSeq, a predicted model, not a curated record
CUGAAUUUGGAAUCAGGAAAACCUCGUCUAUUAAUCCUGACUCAGAGACCUUUCCACUUCUGUGGUUCCGGACAAAUCUCGUGACUGCCCUAAAUCUUGAUUUUCUCAUCUGUAAAAUGGCUGGAGCUGUUUAAGAACCUUGGGAGCUACUCUAAUCAGAGGGCAGAUCCUGCAGGCCUUUCGGGCGAUCCCCUCGUUUCUGAGGGAGAUUCCUGGUGUGGUAACCCUCUAGUCUUGGCAAGAAGGAGGAGUCCUGGUUUCAGGAGAUGGCUUUCUGUGUAAGGGAAGAAAGAGGGACAUAUAGGGAAAUGAAGAUGAUACAACAACAAAAGAUAUCAAUAUUGCUAAAAAAAAAAAAGAAUUCUGUGACAAACUUUCCCUUUCUACAAUUUGGUUGUGGCUUAGUUCUUGUCAAGAUGGUGGUAGUUGGUUUGAGGGUGGAGGAAGGGAGGGAGGGAGGAUGAUACCCCCUGCCUUCAGCAUCUCUUCCCACCUGUUAAAUUUGCUGAUGCCAGAGCAGAGCAGGCUUGAGAUGCUUCAGGCUACUAUGGUCAAUCACCUCUUGGUUAUCAGAACAGGCAAGUUGGGGUGUUGCCCAUAACCCCUGAGGAUUCUUAGAACUCCAGGACCAGAUGGCAAAUCCCUUAGCCAUUACUAGAGCUGAUAGACAUGAAAAGGAAACCUUAUUGUUGUAGAAAGAGAAUCUGUGAUUCUUACAAGAACUAAAUGAACUCCAGGUUAUGUCAGCACUAUUUCAUCAGGCAGGAGCCUUGAGUAUAAUGGACUAUUAGGCAGAGACCCCAUUUUCUUUCUAAGAGAUUACAGACACUCCUCCCCCAACUUCUCCCACCUGAUCUACCACCCCCAGAGCAUGAAGAGAAAAAGCCAAGAACAUUUGGAACUGGGCCUACUGUGGCUAUGGGGAGGCAAGGCUGGUCUCAAAUCAGAUCCAGGUGGUACUGAGUGAGUCGUGGGAAAAGGAGAAACUUGCUGGCAGGGUGCUACUGAUCUGGACACACAGUGGGUUAGAGGUAAGGCUGUGGGAGGGGUAAUAGAUUGCUUGGGUGGAACCAGAGAUGUAUGGGAAUGCUCAGGAUGGCACAAAGCAAAAAGAUGAUGAACAAUUUCAUGAAAUGUUUCAUAAUGUCCUGAUUCUUCCAAGUGUUUCCUCCAUGAAGCAGCUUUCCCUGACCCCAAUCCACACUAAUCUCUGCCUCUUUGGAACAGUCAUAACUAUUUCAUAUUUCAUUUCCACUUAUCAUUUCUGUUUUCCUUUCAGUCUUAGUGUAGUAUCACCUUUGACAUCAGGUGUUUUUAACCUGGGACCCACAGCCCCACAAGGGGUCUACUGACAGCUUUUGCAAAUUACCAUACACUAUAUCACAAAUGUGUUUUUAAGGAAACAUUUUGGGGAGGGAGGGAGGUACCUGGGAACUUUAAUGUAACAAAGAAAUUUUAAAAAAAGGAAAUAGUUAACUGAGAAAAUAUUUUGAUAACUAUAUUUUAACAUAGUUGUUUUCCUUUGUAAUGAUAAGGAUUUUAUUUUAUGCACUUUCAAACAUUCUUCCCAGAAGGGGUUCAUGAACUUCACUAGACUGCAGCCAGGGGUCCAGGACAUGAAACAAGGAAUAGCUCUCGUUGGACACGAUACCUACCUGUUUCCAAGUUCUAGUGCCUUCUCCAAUUACCUUACAUUUUAUAUGAACCUAGAUCUGUUUUCUCCUCUGAAGUUGCAAGCUUCUUAAAAGUAGGGACUAUUUAUUUUUGUCUUUGUAGCAUUGGUGAUGAGUACAGUGCCUCGUGCUUUGUAGGUGCUUAAUAAAUGCUUAUAAUUGAGCAAUAAAUAUCUUGCCUUUUACUGCCAAUGAUCUUUUCAUUUGUUUCUCCUCUGACUAAUUUCCUUGAGGGUGGGGACAAUGGCUCCUGAUAAGAGACAGCUUAAGGGACUCAAUAGAAUGCUAGACCUAAAACAAGGAGACCUGAGUUCAAAUCUUGUUGUGGGGCCUUAUUAACUAAAUGACUUAAGGAAAAUUAUUUUAAUAUCUGCCAGCCUCACUUCUAGAAUGUUUUUGCUGCCUUUCCACCCUGGA